GUGCCUAAUACAUGCAAGUCGAACGCUUUUUUCAAUCAUCGUAGCUUGCUACACCGAUUGAAAAUUGAGUGGCGAACGGGUGAGUAACACGUGGGUAACCUGCCCAAAAGAGGGGGAUAACACUUGGAAACAGGUGCUAAUACCGCAUAACCAUGAUGACCGCAUGGUCAUUAUGUAAAAGAUGGUUUCGGCUAUCACUUUUGGAUGGACCCGCGGCGUAUUAACUUGUUGGUGGGGUAACGGCCUACCAAGGUGAUGAUACGUAGCCGAACUGAGAGGUUGAUCGGCCACAUUGGGACUGAGACACGGCCCAAACUCCUACGGGAGGCAGCAGUAGGGAAUCUUCCACAAUGGGCGCAAGCCUGAUGGAGCAACGCCGCGUGAGUGAAGAAGGUCUUCGGAUCGUAAAACUCUGUUGUUAGAGAAGAACAUGCAAGAGAGUAACUGUUCUUGUAUUGACGGUAUCUAACCAGAAAGCCACGGCUAACUACGUGCCAGCAGCCGCGGUAAUACGUAGGUGGCAAGCGUUGUCCGGAUUUAUUGGGCGUAAAGGGAACGCAGGCGGUCCUUUAAGUCUGAUGUGAAAGCCUUCGGCUUAACCGAAGAAUUGCAUUGGAAACUGGAGGACUUGAGUGCAGAAGAGGAGAGGUGGA
Molecule: ribosomal RNA, 653 nt
Filed under: Ligilactobacillus agilis
Lineage: Bacteria; Bacillati; Bacillota; Bacilli; Lactobacillales; Lactobacillaceae
Description: bacterial SSU rRNA
Rfam family: Bacterial small subunit ribosomal RNA
Source: RNAcentral